UACGUAGGGUGCAGGCGUUUAAUCGGAAUUACUGGGCGUAAAGCGUGCGCAGGCGGUUUGCUAAGACAGGUGUGAAAUCCCCGGGCUUAACCUGGGAACUGCGCUUGUAACUGGCAAGCUAGAGUGUGGCAGAGGGGGGUGGAAGUUCCACGUGUGAGGCAGUGAAAUGACGUAGAGAUGUGGAGGAACACCGAUGGCGAAGGCAGCCCCCUGG
This 214-nucleotide ribosomal RNA is filed under the name uncultured bacterium. Its description in RNAcentral is "partial 16S ribosomal RNA". It matches the Rfam family "Bacterial small subunit ribosomal RNA", at positions 524 to 732 of the family's 1533-position model. The record is from RNAcentral.